This 318-nucleotide signal recognition particle RNA is filed under the name Candidatus Caldarchaeum subterraneum. Its description in RNAcentral is "signal recognition particle sRNA". It matches the Rfam family "Archaeal signal recognition particle RNA". The record is from RNAcentral. Lineage: Archaea; Thermoproteati; Nitrososphaerota; Candidatus Caldarchaeales; Candidatus Caldarchaeaceae. RNAcentral also lists the same sequence under 1 other name.
CGGCGGGAAGGGCCGGGGUGCCAGCCCUACCCUGUAACCCGAAACGGGCUACAUGCGGGGGCCAGACAACCCGGCGGAGCGCCUAGACAACAACCGCAAAAACCAAGGCCACCAGCGAUGAAGACGCGCGGAAACGGAGCGCCGUAGGGGGUGUGGGUAUCCGUAGGGAUGCUCCGCAUCCCCUCACACGCCGAAUCGUGUUAGGCCCGGGAGGGAGCGGCACUAAGGCGUGGCGGUGCGGCCGUUUUGCGGCGCGUCUCAGCCAUAGGGGCCUUGGCUGGUGCGGUUGUUGUCUUUGCCAUCCGCUGGGGGCCGCCG